GAACUCCGAGACGGCACCCGAGUACCGCAGGGCACGUGAAACCCAGCGGGAAUCUGGGAGGACCAUCUUCCAAGGCUAAGUACUACUCGACGACCGAUAGUGAACAAGUACCGUGAGGGAAAGGUGAAAAGCACCCCGGUAAGGGGAGUGAAAUAGUACCUGAAACCGUGCGUCUACAAGCAGUCGAAGCACUAUGCCGCAAGGAAUGUGCGACGGCGUACCUUUUGCAUCAUGGGCCUGCGAGUUGCCCUGUGUCGCGAGGUUAAGCCGCGAGGUGUAGCCGAAGGGAAACCGAGUCCUAACUAGGGCGAAUGAGUGGCACGGGACAGACCCGAAACCUAGUGAUCUAUCCUUGAGCAGGCUGAAGCGCGGGUAAUACCGCGUGGAGGGCCGAACCCACCAUAGUUGAAAAUAUGGGGGAUGACUUGAGGAUGGGAGUGAAAGGCUAAUCAAACUGGGAGAUAGCUGGUUCUCCGCGAAAUAUAUUGAGGUAUAGCCUCGGACGAAUUGCACCGGAGGUAGAGCACUGAUUGGGC
Molecule: ribosomal RNA, 536 nt
Filed under: uncultured bacterium
Lineage: Bacteria
Description: bacterial LSU rRNA
Rfam family: Bacterial large subunit ribosomal RNA
Source: RNAcentral